CAAUUUAAUAUAAUAGUGUUAGUCAAAAAGCAUAAAGUAAUAUUUUAAAUUUUUGUCUCCAUGAUAAAUAGAAUUGCAUUAUUUAAGGUAAAUAGAUAGUACAAAAGAUUAUGCUUUCUAGAAAAUUAAAAUAGUUAAGUAAGAAAAGGCGUUUUGUUUGAAUAUAUUUCUUAUAACUAUUGUACAACGAAUAGAAUAUAAAAAUUAUGAUAGAUAGUAUGAAUGUGUAUUUGAUGGAUAAUAUAUAGAUAAAAAAGAGCGUAGCAGGCAAUGAAAUAGAAAGAAAGUACUAUAUUUAACUUACCGUAACUAUUCUGUAACAUUUAGAAAAUAAGAAUAGUUAGGGUAAGUUAAAAAACGUUUUAUAAUUUUUGUUUUCGAGAUAAAAGCUAAUGAAAAAGAAGAUAAUUAAAGUUUUAGUUAUUUGUGUUGAAAUUAGUAUUGGUUUCACAGCAUUAGGGACAAUUUUGAAAAAGGUUACUCAAUUAAUAAUACGUUAGCAAAUCCGUAAAAUUCAUUAGAUAGAAACUUAAAUAAUCUUUUAUUAAAAUGAGGAUAGAACUUUUAUCAGUAAAAGCAUUGUAUAAUAAAAAAAGAGUUUAACUAACAAUUAGUGGUUUUGCUCUAAGAAAUAAAUAUUAGAAUUACUAAUGCCGAUAUAAAUUCUUUAAGGAUGGUUAGUUUUUUUCAUAGCCUUAGAAUAGUUGCAAAAUUUCAUAUAGGACAAUGAAAAAUAAUUGAAUAUAAGAAAACUAAUGGCUAGGAAACUCCAAAAUUCUUGAACGACAAUGGGGGGUAUUUUUUAAAUUAUCUAUAUCCUUUUAAUGAUAAUAUAUCGCAAAAAGAAAGUGAUUAUUACUGUUAAUCAUGUUGUAUUAAAAAAGCUUGCCUAAUUUAGAAAUAAAUUUAUUUCUAAAUAAUGUUACAGAAAAUACUACUCCACCUAAACAUCCGAUUAAGCUUAUUAAAAAAAAUAGUUGAAGAGUACUUUCAAAUUUGUAAACACUAGAAAUGAUUUUUAACAUUAGUAAGCUUAAAAUAGU
RNAcentral lists this unclassified non-coding RNA (1043 nucleotides) under Enterococcus faecalis V583. RNAcentral's name for it is "Ref8D1". The record is from RNAcentral. Lineage: Bacteria; Bacillati; Bacillota; Bacilli; Lactobacillales; Enterococcaceae.